AACGAACGCUGGCGGCAGGCUUAACACAUGCAAGUCGAACGCCCCGCCAGGGGAGUGGCAGACGGGUGAGUAACGCGUGGGAACAUACCCUUUUCUACGGAAUAGCUCUGGGAAACUGGAAUUAAUACCGUAUACGCCCUACGGGGGAAAGAUUUAUCGGGGAAGGAUUGGCCCACGUUGGAUUAGCUAGUUGGCGGGGUAAAGGCCUACCAAGGCGACGAUCUAUAGCUGGUCUGAGAGGAUGAUCAGCCACAUUGGGACUGAGACACGGCCCAAACUCCUACGGGAGGCAGCAGUGGGGAAUAUUGGACAAUGGGCGCAAGCCUGAUCCAGCCAUGCCGCGUGAGUGAUGAAGGCCUUAGAGUUGUAAAGCUCUUUCACCGAUGAAGAUAAUGACGGUAGUCGGAGAAGAAGCCCCGGCUAACUUCGUG
RNAcentral lists this ribosomal RNA (431 nucleotides) under uncultured bacterium. RNAcentral's name for it is "partial 16S ribosomal RNA". It matches the Rfam family "Bacterial small subunit ribosomal RNA", at positions 29 to 507 of the family's 1533-position model. The record is from RNAcentral.